This 321-nucleotide long non-coding RNA is filed under the name Mytilus galloprovincialis (Mediterranean mussel). Lineage: Eukaryota; Metazoa; Mollusca; Bivalvia; Mytilida; Mytilidae. The record is from RNAcentral.
AAACGAUACACGGUAAUGCGUUUUAUAUAUAAUGAAAUUGGAUUGACAGUUGUCCAAUUGAUGACGUGUGAUAGUUAAAUAGUGUUUUAUUACUAGUUUAUCAUUGCUUGAUUAAAGGGGUUUACAGAAUAGAGAAGAAUGCAUGGACCAAGAGUAAAGAGAAGUUUACCAAACAUAUAAAAAGAACAAUUAAAAAAGGGGAAAAAAGAGAAAUAAUUAGGAGAAUAAUUGGCUGAAAAAAAGACAAAAAAAGAGAAAUAAUUAGAAUGCAAAAAUAUGGAAAUAGAGAAUAAUGGGCAACAAAAUAGACAAUACAGACAC